UCCCCGAUAGCUCAGUUGGUAGAGCGACGGACUGUUAAUCCGCAGGUCCCAGGUUCGAGCCCUGGUCGAGGAGCCA
Molecule: transfer RNA, 76 nt
Filed under: Pseudomonadota bacterium
Lineage: Bacteria; Pseudomonadati; Pseudomonadota
Description: tRNA-Asn
Rfam family: tRNA
About the family: Transfer RNA (tRNA) molecules are approximately 80 nucleotides in length. Their secondary structure includes four short double-helical elements and three loops (D, anti-codon, and T loops). Further hydrogen bonds mediate the characteristic L-shaped molecular structure. tRNAs have two regions of fundamental functional importance: the anti-codon, which is responsible for specific mRNA codon recognition, and the 3' end, to which the tRNAs corresponding amino acid is attached (by aminoacyl-tRNA synthetases). tRNAs cope with the degeneracy of the genetic code in two manners: having more than one tRNA (with a specific anti-codon) for a particular amino acid; and 'wobble' base-pairing, i.e. permitting non-standard base-pairing at the 3rd anti-codon position.
Source: RNAcentral